UACGUAGGUGGCAAGCGUUGUCCGGAUUUAUUGGGUUUAAAGGGUGCGUAGGCGGUCUUAUAAGUCAGUGCUGAAAUAUCCCGGCUUAACCGGGAGGGUGGCAUUGAUACUGCAAGACUUGAGUAGAGUUGAGGUUGGCGGAAUUGACGGUGUAGCGGUGAAAAUGCUUAGAUAUCGUCAAGAACACCGAUAGUGAAGACAGCUAACUAAGCUCUAACUGACGCUGAGGCACGAAAGUGUGGGGAUCAAACAGG
RNAcentral lists this ribosomal RNA (254 nucleotides) under uncultured bacterium. RNAcentral describes it as "partial 16S ribosomal RNA". It matches the Rfam family "Bacterial small subunit ribosomal RNA", at positions 524 to 776 of the family's 1533-position model. The record is from RNAcentral.